AUCCCAACUGAAAGAUAGGCGUGAGAUUUAAAACUUUCUGAAGCACAAACCAGUGGGAACUCACUCUUCCCGAUCGAACCUCCACUAUUUCUGUUUGGGACGGUGAUGGGAGCAAAGAGAAGGCUGCAAAUGGAUUAAGGGACUGUAUGCUUCAAAACAAGUAGGGGGAUGAUUUCAGCAAUACAGUUUUACUGGGACAACGGACAGCUUCAGAUGAAGAGGAAAGUGACUUUGUCCUUUUGCUUGUUAAGGUCUUCUUCCUCCGAAGUGUUGUCUGGAAAACUCAUCUACUGUCGUGUCCGUGUGGAGCAGCUCACUGACCCCAGGCUUAAACCACCCUUCUGCUUGAGUUCUUGA
Molecule: long non-coding RNA, 357 nt
Filed under: Ursus maritimus (polar bear)
Lineage: Eukaryota; Metazoa; Chordata; Mammalia; Carnivora; Ursidae
Description: lncRNA (ENSUMAG00000024202.1)
Source: RNAcentral